UUCUUGGAACAAAAACUGGAGCAUUAUGGUUCAAGUUGCUGUUUGGACUUGCUGCAGGUGGCAGAAUUGCACGACAAUUCAUUUUUGCAGGGUUCCCUUGAGAUUUUGGCUUGAAUGGAGCAUCAAUGUCCUCUCAUGCACUAUCGUGAUCAAGCUCUUGGUCGUCUUAUGCAGAUGAAAAACCAACAUGUUCUUCACCCCAACCCUCCUCAUCAUGAAAAUCUCGUUGGUCUAUCCACAGUUUCGAUUUAACGACCAUGUACCUCAUGUUAGCUUGAUUGACUACUUUGUUAUUUCUAGUGGAGAUUGAUGGUUCCCAUAAUCUUUGAUAAUUUUCUCCACAUGUGGACUGGAGAAAGGAAUGGUUGGAGAAUUUUGAUCAUUGGCCUGCAUUUGCGUAUUUUGAUCAUUAGCAUGAGCUUUAUUCAAUGCCGCUGUAGUCGAUAAGCGUUUUUAUUAUAACUCUCAACCAUCUGCAA
Molecule: long non-coding RNA, 479 nt
Filed under: Nicotiana benthamiana
Lineage: Eukaryota; Viridiplantae; Streptophyta; Magnoliopsida; Solanales; Solanaceae
Description: long non-coding RNA (NBEN_LNC015134)
Source: RNAcentral